AGCAACAGUCGUGACUGGCGUGCUCGGGUGGAAGUGACCACCGGGGAGCGACGAAUCUGCUGGCGGUGCCGCGCGCCUGGGCACUCCGA
Molecule: non-coding RNA, 89 nt
Filed under: Frankia sp.
Lineage: Bacteria; Bacillati; Actinomycetota; Actinomycetes; Frankiales; Frankiaceae
Also listed under: 1 other name
Description: ZTP sequence
Rfam family: ZMP/ZTP riboswitch aptamer (pfl RNA motif)
About the family: Previously known as pfl RNA. ZMP is also known as AICAR.
Source: RNAcentral